This is an RNA transcript of Talpa occidentalis (Iberian mole), 5418 nucleotides long. It is a transcript of the gene named NKG2-A/NKG2-B type II integral membrane protein-like, with no coding region annotated. Lineage: Eukaryota; Metazoa; Chordata; Mammalia; Eulipotyphla; Talpidae. The record is from RefSeq and is a predicted model, not a curated record. The transcript is spliced from 10 exons.
GCCUUCACUUAGUUUCAGGAAUGAAUAACCAAGGAGUAACCUAUGCAGAACUGAAUCUACCUAAGAAAUCAAAAGGACGGCAAGUAAAACCCAAGGGCACUAAAAUCUCAGAACCCCAGCAGGAAAUAACUUAUGCAGACUUAAAACUUCGAAAUGUUUCUCAGGAUCUUCCAGGGAAAGACAAGCGCAACCACUGUAAAGGCUUAGCAGCACCUCCGGAGAAGCUCAUUGCUGGGAUUUUGGGACUCACCUGCCUUGUCUUGAUAGGCACUAUUGUGACCCUGUGGGUUAUUUCCAUUACAGGGACACAGAAAAACAACUCAUCAUUAACAACACAAAAAGCUAAUUUACCAGCUAAUUCUUCCUUAGAAUGUCAUUAUGGCACUUGUCCAAAGGAUUCAUUUACAUACUCCAAAAGCUGCUAUUUUUCCAGUAAUGAAAAAAAAACCUGGAAUGAGAGCGUGAAGGCCUGUGCUUCUAAGAAAUCUCACCUGCUCUACAUAGAUCAUGAAAAAGAAAUGGAAUUUCUGAAAUCCAUGGAACUUCUCUCAUGGGUGGGAGUCUCCCGUGAAAGCAGCAACCAGCCAUGGAAGGCAAUAAAUGGUUCAGUUUUCAAACAAAACGUAACUGAUUUAUCAACUGGCAUCAACAAUAACUGUAUUAUGUUAACCUCCUCUGGUCUCAGAGCAGAUCUUUGUGAAUAUCGGAGUGUGUAUUAUUGCAAGCAGAGGCUUUAGGUCAAGAAUGACAGAGUUUGGAUUCUGUUGGGAGACUUUAUAUUUCAUGAAAUGAAAACAAUAUGAUGAUUACAAUUAUUUUUUUAAGUAAUGUUGAAAAACAGUGGUAUAUUCAUCAAAAAGUGCAGAUAUCAUUACUGUUGUGUCUGGAUAUUUUUUGCUCAGUCUUAUAUUUGUGACAUCCAACCUUUGUAAAAGGUCAUACUUGUGUGAGUUUGUUUGUAUGAAGUAUCAAAAAAUGGCAAACUCACAGAUAUAGAAAAUAGGUUGGUGAUUGCUGGGGACUGAGAGGUAAGAAGAGGAAAUGACCAUCAACUGGUUUUGUGUUUCAUUUUGGGAUGAUGAAAGUUUUCUAAUUAUUGAGAGAAGUAAUGGUUAAGAGCUGUAAAUAUUGUGAAUAUUCUAAAAUAUUUGAUUUUUGCUCUCUAAAGAGAUGAGUUUUAUGUUUUGUAUAUUAUUCAAUUUCAAACAAUAAAGCUGCUGUCAAAUAACUUAUAAAAACAUGGCUUAUGUUUGAAACUCCAUUUUCAUUUUUAAAGUGAUAUGCAGACAUUAAACAACCAUUUUUUUGUUGGCCUUUUUUUAUCUAAAUCUAGUCUUACUUCCUACAACUUGCUUCCUGAAAGUAUACAUGUUGCUUUGUUUCUAUAACUGUUUAGAUCUCUCUACAAUGCUUAUUAUUCCAUCCACAGCCAGUUUUAUCCAUUCAUGCAUUAUGUCAUUCUCAUUUUAUUUUCUAUUGUGUUCUGUAUUUUUAUAGACAUCUUCUGGUAAUAUAGGUAUUUCAUAGUCAUGCUUUUGUAAUGGUAUUCUUAUCUUGAAAGUCCCCUUAGUAAUUUUUGUUGUUAUAAACAGAAAUUACAUGUGGUGUCCGCACAUAAAUUUUAUAUCCUGCAGUUUCAUGGGCUAUAUGUAUUAUUUGUAUCAUUUCAAAUAUUCAUAUAACAGGAUAGAACACUUAAUAUCAACUGCUAUUUCAUCUAUAAAUAAUCACACAUUUGUUACUUCUUUAUAAAUGCAAGUACUUUGUUUUUGACUUAUAGGCCUGGGUUUUAUUUCUUUCUUUCUUUUUUAAUGAUUUAUUUAUUUAUUUAUACAAGCACUGGGUACUGUCAGAAGCGCGGGAGGGUGAGAGAAUUCACCAGAGCCAGAGCGGGGAACUGAACAGGCAGACCGACGAAAUACACUGCUGAGGGGAGCAGCUGGCGCGGCAGAAGAGGUCUGUGCGCCAUGUGGGACCCUUGCUGGUGGCUGGGGAUCGAACCAGCGCUUCAGAGGCCUCGGGCAGCUUUGCAACCCAGCUCUCAACUGCUGUGCCACCAGGGGAGGCCCUUGGGUUUUAUUUCUAAUGUUGAACAGAAGGCACAGUGAAGGUCUACCUGUGUCUUUAAUAACUUCAGAGAAACAAUUUUGGUAUUUCACUUCACUGUGAGACUUAUUUUAAUUUUUCCAACAUGUUUUCCCUAAUAAAUCCAAUUCUAUAAUAUUCCUCUUUUUAUGAUCAUUUUAUAGUCAAUUGAUGUUUUCUUUUGUUAUUUUUCAUCAUAGGAAUGAGUUAUUGUCUCUCCAUGUUCAUGAAGCAAAAUAUCUUUACUUUUUUAGAAAUGUCAAACAUCUUUUGGCAAGGACCAUGCUACUGGUGUCCUCUGUCAAAGGUCCAGGCAUGGGGCAGAUUCCUGAAGUCAGGAAUCUCCUUAGCUGACACCUGCUAAAUUCUUCUCAUUUGUUUAUGGCUGGCUUCUACUGAAUGUGGCAAUUGUUAAAAUAUGAAUGUAGAAGUAAAACUGCAAAUGCUGUAUGACCAAAUACUAAAUAACUAAAUUGACAACAAUGGCACUGCAUGAUAUAAACAGUACAUUUUGAAGCAAUUAGUAUUUUUCUGCUUGAAGGCAGUGAUUCAGAAUUUGGUUUCAUUGUAACAAGUGGUAUGCCACACUUAAAAUCUUCUGAGAACUAAAGGUUGUAAACAUUCCUGGCCAAGUCUUUGAUGUAGAAUUGUGGUCUUUUAAGACAGUGACCAUCUGGAGAGUUUUAAAGUUAGAGAUAGCAGUUAAAGUUAGAAGCAGCAGUUAAUUGACAAAAUAAUCAGGGAAUUAACAGGUGAAUAUAUAGCCUUGAGAAAGUAAAAGGAGUUCCCCCCCCCUUUUUUUUUUCUUUUGAAGCUUGGGGUUAGAUAAGGGUUAGUGCAACUUAGGUGGCACUGGGAUUCUUUGGGUUUUUUAAUAUUUUUACUACUUUUAUUAAAUUAUAAUAGAUUAGUUAUAGGAAUAAGAAUUUUUUUUUUAUUUUAGCAGUAAUUGGACUUGAUUACCAAUAUAUAAGGUGAUUAUAUUUUUUAAUGUUUAAGAUUUAGGAAUUUUAUAAAUUUUGAUUAAUUAGUAAUUUAGCUGUAAUAAAGGAAUUAAGUUUUAGUCAUAUAAGUUUUUGUUACUUUGCUGUUUUAUAGCAUUAACAGAAUGAUUACUGGGCAGUGGAAAUUAAAUGAUUGUUAGUGGACAUUUUUUGUGGUAACUGUAUGUAGAACUAAGUGAAAUUGCUGUCAUCACCUCAGCAAGGGUCCAAGGUCCCCAGGCUGGUUUGGCUAGUCCUUUUUUAUACUUGAAAAUACUUGCUUAUGUACUCCCAUGGGUUGCUAGCUGGAGAUGUAUAAAUAAAGAAUGCUGAGACCCUCUGCAGGAUGAUACUUGCACCCUGAUCAAGGGUCAGUGUCUCCUCAUUCCCUUCCCCCUCAACCCCUCAGAUUCAUCCACGCCAUCUCACCCUUGCAGGAAUCCCUGAGAAGACAGUUUGCCAGAGCUGGCUUCUGGCAAUCUUUCAUUUCUGAAAUAAAACCACAAUGAUCAUUCUCUUUUGUUGUGUAUUAAAAUGCAGCGCUCUCUUGAGAAUGGCCCAUAUAAAAAAGAUUAGCAACACAGGUGUUGAUGUGAGUGUGUUAGGGCAAUCUUGUACAUUUUUGGUAGAAUAUAAAUUGGUUGAGUCCCUAUUCCUCAGGGAUCACGAAUAGACCUUCUGAAUGAUUCUGCAAUUCCACUCCUCAAUAUCUACUGGAAGGAUUAAAAAUCACUAAUUUGAAGGGAUAUAUAACUCCUAUGACCAUUGAGCAGUAUUUCCGUAGCUAGGUUAUGGAAACAACCUAAGUCUUCAAUGGAAGAUGAGUGUUUUAAGAAGCUGUCUAUAUACACAAUGGAAUACUACUCAGCUAUAAAAAAAAAUGAAUCCUGCCAUUUGGAACAAAUGAAUGGAACUAGAGUUGAUGAUGGUAAGUGAAAUAACUCAGAAAGAGAUAAGUGCCACAUAAUUUCACUCAUAUUUAGAAUAUGAAGACACAAUGCAACAAGUAAACCAAAAUUAGGAAAAAAAAAAAAAUCAAACUCAGAAAAUAAUGCAGAAGUGAGGCUACCUACCUGAAAAGGAUAGUGGGAAUGCGGGAUGGAGGGCAGGUGGGGAAGGGAAGCAAUGAACAUGGUGGAGGAUAGUGUGUACUUCAAUAAUGGACAUGGUAAGGUUACUUACUUCUGUGAAAGCAUGAACUUAUACCCUAAAACCAUGUACAGUGUCAUCAAUCAAUGUUACUUAACUGAAGUGAUAUAAAAAUUGAAUAAAACAAACUGGCAGACAUGUUUGAUUGAGGUGUUUUUCUUCAGACAUGUCAUUAAGACAGUAGGCUAUAUUUUCUUAGCAAGAUCUAAGUACUCAGCACUUGUGAUUGAGAUGGAAGCACUUUAACAGCACACUGUCAGGUCAUUUGUAUUCUGACAUAUAUUUGAAGAGGAACAUAAUUUCUCAGCACAUUUCAAAAUGGGUAAACUACUUAGCAUCCUAUGAGCACAUAUGGCUCCUAUCCUCUGUGACUGCAUCAACUGUCUUUAUCCCAGUGUUAGACUUUCCUGUUGAAAUUUUAAGUGACACUGAUAAGAAAUCUACUUUUUCUGAACUUGCCUCACUCUGAACCUUCACAGGAGAGUCUGUGCAAAGCACAAGCAUUAUUUCUUUUGUUUCCAAGAGUAACCAGGUCUCCCGCGAGAGGAUACUCUACUCUUUGGCCAGCAGAAGCAUCUCAGUUUUAUCUGAAAUCCCACAGGCAUCAGAGUGCAGUCCCAUGUGUUCUGUGACAUGACGCAGCUGCGAGAGGCACAGCCAAAGUGAACACCACCCACAAUUGGUUCUGGACUCAAGAGGAAAACCAAUGAAAGACUUGCCAUUACCUCUAGGGACGGUUGCUGCUGAGGUCCCGGGGGUCAUCUGCCUCAUUUUGGUGGCCACUGCAGGAAAGACCAGAGUCCUUAUUCCCUGGACAGGAAGGCCACUGUACAGGUUUCAACGAUUGGAGCCGACCGUCGUAAAGGAGAGUCCUGGAGCCCUCCACUACUCCCUCCUGCCUCUCUCCAGCUUCUCUCCUGCUUCUGCUUCUCUUGGUGACUAUUUGAAUACUCCUCCCUUGGCCCAGAGAAGUAAAUAAGACAGUUUGCAACAAUCUAACAGCAGUAGGUGCCCAUCAGGCAGGGCAAUCCUAAUGGUGGGAGGGCAGAAAAGCCUGAAACCAUUUACCUUACAUGAUUGAUUUGCAAACAUAUUUGCAAAUGUGCAGAAGUUAUGUCUCCCAAACAGAAAAUGUAAUGUUAUUAGUCACCACUAUGAUUAACUCAUGCAGGUAUAAUCUUUUCACUCUUUUAAAAAAAUA